GAUCCCUUCGGGGAUAGUGGCAGACGGGUGAGUAACGCGUGGGAACCUACCUUUAGGUACGGAACAACAGUUGGAAACGACUGCUAAUACCGUAUGUGCCCUAUGGGGGAAAGAUUUAUCGCCUAAGGAUGGGCCCGCGUUGGAUUAGCUAGUUGGUGGGGUAAUGGCCUACCAAGGCGACGAUCCAUAGCUGGUCUGAGAGGAUGAUCAGCCACACUGGGACUGAGACACGGCCCAGACUCCUACGGGAGGCAGCAGUGGGGAAUAUUGGACAAUGGGGGCAACCCUGAUCCAGCCAUGCCGCGUGAGUGAUGAAGGCCCUAGGGUUGUAAAGCUCUUUCAGCGAGGAGGAUAAUGACGUUACUCGCAGAAGAAGCCCCGGCUAACUUCGUGCCAGCAGCCGCGGUAAUACGAAGGGGGCUAGCGUUGUUCGGAAUCACUGGGCGUAAAGCGCACGUAGGCGGACUUUUAAGUCAGGGGUGAAAUCCCGGGGCUCAACCUCGGAACUGCCUUUGAUACUGGAAGUCUUGAGUCCGAGAGAGGUGAGUGGAACUCCGAGUGUAGAGGUGAAAUUCGUAGAUAUUCGGAAGAACACCAGUGGCGAAGGCGGCUCACUGGCUCGGUACUGAC
Molecule: ribosomal RNA, 630 nt
Filed under: Roseibium aggregatum
Lineage: Bacteria; Pseudomonadati; Pseudomonadota; Alphaproteobacteria; Hyphomicrobiales; Stappiaceae
Description: bacterial SSU rRNA
Rfam family: Bacterial small subunit ribosomal RNA
Source: RNAcentral